GGGGAAACGGCAUUAUGUGCUUGCACAUUUUGGACGUCGACCGGCGCACGGGUGAGUAUCGCGUAUCCAACCUGCCCUUUACUUGGGGAUACCCCGUUGAAAGACGGCCUAAUACCCGAUGUAAUUCAUUGAUGGCAUCAGAUAUGAAUAAAAGAUUUAUCGGUAAAGGAUGGGGAUGCGUCUGAUUAGCUUGUUGGUGAGGUAAAGGCUCACCAAGGCAACGAUCAGUAGGGGUUCUGAGAGGAAGGUCCCCCACAUUGGAACUGAGACACGGUCCAAACUCCUACGGGAGGCAGCAGUGAGGAAUAUUGGUCAAUGGGCGCAAGCCUGAACCAGCCAAGUAGCGUGCAGGAAGACGGCCCUAUGGGUUGUAAACUGCUUUUAUACGAGAAUAAUUUGAUGCACGUGUGCGUUAUUGCAUGUAUCGUAUGAAUAAGGACCGGCUAAUUCCGUGCCAGCAGCCGCGGUAAUACGGAAGGUCCAGGCGUUAUCCGGAUUUAUUGGGUUUAAAGGGAGUGUAGGCGGUUUGUUAAGCGUGUUGUGAAAUUUAGAUGCUCAACAUUUAACUUGCAGCGCGAACUGUCAGACUUGAGUACACGCAACGUAUGCGGAAUUCAUGGUGUAGCGGUGAAAUGCUUAGAUAUCAUGAAGAACUCCGAUUGCGAAGGCAGCAUACGGGAGUGUAACUGACGCUUAAGCUCGAAGGUGCGGGUAUCGAACAGGAUUAGAUACCCUGGUAGUCCGCACAGUAAACGAUGGAUGCCCGCUGUUAGCGCCUGGCGUUAGCGGCUAA
Molecule: ribosomal RNA, 793 nt
Filed under: uncultured Bacteroidota bacterium
Lineage: Bacteria; Pseudomonadati; Bacteroidota
Description: bacterial SSU rRNA
Rfam family: Bacterial small subunit ribosomal RNA
Source: RNAcentral